CUACGGGAGGCUCCAGUGAGGAAUAUUGCACAAUGGGGGGAACCCUGAUGCAGCAACGCCGCGUGGAGGAUGACGCAUUUCGGUGUGUAAACUCCUUUUAUGUGUCAAGAAAAUGACGGUAGCAUAUGAAUAAGCACCGGCUAACUCCGUGCCAGCAGCCGCGGUAAUACGGAGGGUGCAAGCGUUACUCGGAAUCACUGGGCGUAAAGGGCGCGUAGGCGGGUUGGAAAGUCAGGUGUGAAAUCCUACAGCUUAACUGUAGAACUGCACUUGAAACUUCUAAUCUAGAGUAUGGGAGGGGGGGAUGGAAUUAGUGGUGUAGGGGUAAAAUCCGUAGAUAUCACUAGGAAUACCUAAAGCGAAGGCGAUCUCCUGGAACAUUACUGACGCUAAGGCGUGAAAGCGUGGGGAGCAAACAGGAUUAGAUACCCGCGUAGUC
RNAcentral lists this ribosomal RNA (439 nucleotides) under uncultured bacterium. RNAcentral describes it as "partial 16S ribosomal RNA". It matches the Rfam family "Bacterial small subunit ribosomal RNA", at positions 339 to 795 of the family's 1533-position model. The record is from RNAcentral.